Molecule: transfer RNA, 68 nt
Filed under: Marmota monax (woodchuck)
Lineage: Eukaryota; Metazoa; Chordata; Mammalia; Rodentia; Sciuridae
Description: tRNA.Ser
Rfam family: tRNA (bases 5-65)
About the family: Transfer RNA (tRNA) molecules are approximately 80 nucleotides in length. Their secondary structure includes four short double-helical elements and three loops (D, anti-codon, and T loops).
Source: RNAcentral
GGAUUGUAGCUCAGUGGUAGAGCAUUUGCCUCGAAUGUGUGAAGCUCUGGGUUCAAUCCCCAGCACCA